UCUAUCUACACCUGUAAAAAUUUUCCACUGACUGAUAAUAACGAAAUGACGUAAAGCGAGGUCAGAUGCUUGCUCAGGAUAUCCCGAGAAAGACCUGACUACCGAGACAGUCGAGUAUGGCCGAUCGCAGAAAUCAGCAAGGGUCAGUGCCAGGGCAAGCGCCAGCAGUGCUCACGAUUGCAGUUACUUCGGCAUAUAAUUCCAUAAACAUUGCGGGUUCCACUUCGUCACCCUUAAGGAAGCCUGGCCAAGUGAUGCUUCUCUUUGGCGUCCGCUGUUGUUGUCAUCGUCGCCGUUGGUGUCUCGUAGUUGUCGUCUGCUAACAUAAACCGGACCGUUAACAUGAUGUUAUGAUCUUGCUAACGUCGACGCCUGCCAACUGCCGAAGACCUAACUGCUACGGUUGUUUACCAUCAGACUGUAAUUUGCGGCGUAGCUAUGAGCGGCAUGAUCACCAUCAACGAUAACAAUAAAGACGAACGAAACCAGCUGCCAACAAGAAUCACUGUCAAACUUAACUCACUAAUACAGUACAACUACAGCCCGUUCUAGAACAACCAAACUGAAUGAUACGCUCUGGCCGCACUAACCCCCCCAGUUUUUCCUGGAUACUGUACCAGCUUUGAGCCGUUGCCACUAGUGCUAUCGUGUCUGCGUCUGACCGCCACGGUUGUAACUGGCACUUCCAAAAUUGAAGUCACAAACCUUUGUCAUUAUGAUUAACUCGAUUAAUGAAGAAGAAUGCCGUUUAUUGUAUUUAUCAAAGAACAACUGAUGAAGUUGAUUGUAGCAAAUGAUGGGAUAGCAGAGCCAAUUUACUUUUGCCAAAGGCCAGUAUCGGACUCCAUUGACCCGCGGAUGUUAAGGGUUAUCGGCUGAUGAAAAACAAACGGUAAGACACCGUGGACAACAACAACAGCAACAGCAGCAGACUGUAUUCAUCUCACACAUAAUCGUCUUUAUCAGUUGUUGACUCAGGACGUGUAGCGUCUGGCCUGAGUCUCCAUCAAGUCUAAGACAGCCCGCAAUAUCAUCGGACGCACUAUAACGGCACAUAGUUGCCGCUCAUCACUUUGACAACGCUACGCAAUCAGCCAGUUUACUUGCUUGCACAUUAUAUAGAUAUAUAUCGCCAACGUGACGUAGAUACUACAAAUUUUCUAUAAAUAGAAUAGGUUACUUGGAGAUACUUGUGUUGGUCACGUAUUACACCCAUCGUUGAGGCGCGACCACAAUUUUCAGCUAUUACGUGAUCUACUUGUAGUCUAAAUGAUGGACCUGGCAGCUAAAGAUCGGUAGCUAACACUUGUUGACUAAUCGCUUAUUCGGGAAUCAAGACUGGAGAACAAAGACUUAGCUAAGGCCGAGAAGACAUUGAUAGCGUGGCUAUCGUACGAGCUAUUCUUGACCGGUCACUUCGCUCCUUCCCGGCCCGCUUCAGAGCGUCCUCUCCGAAGAAGCGAAGUCAUGUCAUCUCGAACACAUCGGACUGUCCAUCCAUUGACAAUUCCAUCCAAGUCUGCGUUAAGUCACUUAAAGAAUCUUACGUAGAAGAUACAAUAAACAGGGCGAUAGACAGACGACAGCAAGGCCUGAUCAUUUGCUUUCAGGAUGGCGGUAGCUGUACGCGAGUUCGACGCUAACGGAGAAAGGAUCGUCUACGAAUGCUAGAAGUUUGUCGUUUCCUGCGCAGCAGAAGCCGUGACGAUGUAAGGCUGAGGUUUGGCUCAUACUCGUCGCCCCCCCCAUGAUAAUGUCACCACCCCAGGGGUGGGAGGGAUACUGUAUCUGAAGCAAGUAUACGAAUGAAAGCCUUGACGAUGCUGCAUCAUAAAAUACGGCAGACCUUAACCACUGCGACUGUAGUAUCAUUGUACACCGCUGCUGCCCGAAUUUAUAGUAAUGCGUGUAUGUAAUGCGCAGACAUUGAUUAGAAAGGGAUUUGUUGAGAAUCAGAUAACAACAGGCGAAGAGGCGGGUUGGUUGUCGACGCGACCUGCAAUGCCGUCAGACUAGCAAUACUUUUUUUUUAAUGUGUAUUUUAUGUAUAUCAAUUUACUCCUCAUGAGUAAAUCAGUCAUCGGGCCGAUCCGCAGCUACGGAUUCUAUGUCAGCUGUAUGACGGCCCUCUGUAUUACGUCCAUGUUUGCAGGUACUUAUGCUAUACGUGUAGAAUCAGCGGCAAAAAAGGAUUUUUUUGCCAAUAUAGGAUUAUAUAGACGCACACCUAUAUUUGAUUCCACGACGACUUUUCUUUCAGCUUUUUUUUUCCAUUUGUUAGGAUAAUUAUAUGAUCAGUUAUCAAAGGUGCUGGAAGAGCAAAGCGUCACGUGUAAAAAUGGCGCCAAAAUUAAAUAUCCAAUCGUGUAAUGCGGGAAGUAAUCGCUGAUAGCCUGUAAAGCACUUGUCUGAAUUAGGUGGGCAGGACGUGAUGCAGGCCAACGAUUGUUGUUCCCGUGAAUAUCAUCCGAUGUGGUCCUGCGUAACAUAUAUAGAACAUGUUAGUGUCGUGUAGUAAGUUCUCGUUGGGCUGAUACUUGAUGCUAUAAAACGAUUCUUUGCGAAGACUGGGGAUCGUCGCUCGACGACUGUGGGUUAUACACAAUCAGUUGAUUCAUUCUGUAUCGUGUCGGCAUAAACUACUAAACUUGAGUAUGUGAUACACAUACACUGGCUUGUGUAGCAGUCUUCAGUUAAAUUGUCUUCAUAUAUUCUAUCUAACA
Varroa destructor (honeybee mite) is the source of this 2723-nucleotide long non-coding RNA. The record is from RefSeq and is a predicted model, not a curated record. Lineage: Eukaryota; Metazoa; Arthropoda; Arachnida; Mesostigmata; Varroidae.